UACGUAGGGUCCGAGCGUUGUCCGGAAUUAUUGGGCGUAAAGGGCUCGUAGGCGGUCUGUUGCGUCGGGAGUGAAAACUUACAGCUUAACUGUGAGCGUGCUUCCGAUACGGGCAGACUUGAGGUAUUCAGGGGAGAACGGAAUUCCCUGUGUAGCGGUGAAAUGCGUAGAGAUGGGGGAGAACACUCGUGGCGAAGGCGGCCAGCUAGACCAGUUCUGACACUGAGGCGCGACAGCGUGGGGAGCAAACAGG
Molecule: ribosomal RNA, 253 nt
Filed under: uncultured bacterium
Lineage: Bacteria
Description: partial 16S ribosomal RNA
Rfam family: Bacterial small subunit ribosomal RNA
Source: RNAcentral